Molecule: long non-coding RNA, 1486 nt
Organism: Pogoniulus pusillus (Red-fronted tinkerbird)
Lineage: Eukaryota; Metazoa; Chordata; Aves; Piciformes; Lybiidae
Exons: 3
Source: RefSeq, a predicted model, not a curated record
CUUGCUCGAGUCAACACCCUGGUUAAGCUUCCCUGCUCCUGCUGCUUUUUGACCUAGCGCACAGACCUUAGCAAUGCUGCUUCUGAGGUGUUGCCUUGACCACUCCUAAAGGGGUGACCAAAACUUUGACCGAAUUUUGUAGUGACUUUCUGGUACCUGUUGAGGAGAGAAAGAUAAAGAUAGCGACACGAAGCUGGUCGAUACAAGCACAGCACAAAUUUGACAGCAGAAAUGGAGUUCAUGCUGCCUUCAAGAAAACUGGUGAUUCUCAAACUGUGUCAGAGGGGCAACGUGUCUUUAAAAAGAAGCAUGGAUUAUGUCUGACUCUAUCAUCAGUCCACCCAGCCUGCAUGUGUCCUCUGCUCUUUAUGGCUGAAAAUCAGAAGAGUCUGGAUUCCUCUCACUUCUUGGGUGGAAGAUCAGUCAUAUGACCAGCACUAAUCACCCCCAAGGCAGCAGUGCGUUUACUGCACAUGUAGCACUCCUGAAGGAACAUUUGGUCCUCCUGAGCCAAGAUGAAAGCUUGAUCCAACAAAUCCUUCUUGAAAUAUUGGGAAGAGUUGGGAACCUUCUUUCCCAGCAGCUUCCCCAAAAUACCAGCAUAGAAAGCAUCUCUAAAAUUCCUGUAGUAGCAACCAGCAUCACCAUUAAAAUUUCAGCAUGUCUGAAGAAAAUGAAGUGCACAAUUGGCAGUCUUCAUGCAAAGCAGCUUUUAGCUACGAGGAGCUUCCAUUACCACCUUCUCCCCUUGCACAAGGCAUGAGGAUACAACACAUUUGUGGCAGAGCAACAUGAGCACUCCCUCCCUCUGCAUGGCAUAGAUGGCUGAGCCCAUCAUCACUCACACACAAGUGUAUGCAGCUGGGGAAAACUGAGCCUGGACACUUCAGUCAUUGGAGGCAUUGGAAUGAGACAUUCUCAGCUUAUAUACUUCUUUUCAAGCCUGAGAAACUUCUCGCUCGAGGUAUUGAAAUCCUAGGAUGUGUGGUGUAUGAACUGUUGUCAGAAGGCUUCCUAGCUAAUGUUUGUGUCCAAUUUCUGGUGUAGAAGUGAGAAAUCAACACAUGAGAUUGUCAAAAUCCUAAACAUGUCAAUAGCAUUCACAGAAUACUGAACAUUUGCAUAGGUAUUUUUGCAGCUGGCCCCAGGGUAAGAUCCAGUUUUGUUCUGAGUAUCCCUUGAAUGCAUCAAAAAUGUCAAAUCCUCUGGACUAAAAAGACAGCUUAGAAAAUAUUGCUUCCUUCUCUGCUGUCACUGACCACACACUGAAUUUUAACUUAUUUUCACAGUGUUCUGCUUUGUGUGCCCCUUUACAGUGUAUUAACCUCCCUGUCACACCAACAUACUUCAUUGUCUAGCUACACUCAGCAGUCAGCCUCACCCUGCUUCAGGGAGCUGUUACCCUUCAUCUAACCAAUGUGUCCCAAAACCUAGAAGUCUCUCCUUGAUACUUUAUUCUGCCAGGAUGAUAGGAUUCCUGAAUGGC